CUCACACCAUGUAUCAGACUGAUUGCACACGUGCGUCAGUGUCUCGGCAGCCAGGGACGUUUAUUAUCAGCGGUAUUCAUUUAUACAGUUGGGACAUGUACGGCAAUGUCAGCUUGCUACUGCAUAUCAAGGCCCGCAUUUAAUUUACCGCCGGCCGGCCUACCAUUCCACAAACACACUGCCACCUGGGCUCGCCCACAGUAUGGCACGAGUAAACUCUACCUUUUGUGCAGAAUAAUUCUUACCAAUGGUCCCUGUUGCACAACAGCUGUAGAAACGUAAUUAAUAAACAAUGUAAGCGUACAAAAACUCUUAAAGUCACAUUGUCUUUAGACAUUUAUAAUAUAUGUCUGCUGUGUCUUCUUAAAGAAAUAUAUGCCUAUAUUUAUGCGUUAUUCCUCUUUACAGGGUCAGCACAACGCAGAUGCAAACAACCUAUAAAUAUAGCUACAGCAACGUGCCGUAAUGGGACUGUUGAAGAAGUCUGGGGAUUUAACAAAUCAGAUGAUAAGUGCGUAAAAUAUUUGUCCCUCAGUUGCACCAGAGCAGCAAAUAAAUUUGCCACAGUAAAAGAGUGUUUGCAAACCUGUAACCCCACAUCCAGGUGCCUAAAGCAACCGAAGCAUUAUUGGAUUCCGACUUUCGUAUCAUAUUAUUUUGAUGCUAAUAAAACCCAAUGCGUGGAGAGAAAAAUAACUUGGAAAAAAGGAACCAGCAAGAAAAAUAACAGAUUCAAAACAAGAGAAGAAUGCAUAAAUGAAUGCAUGCCAAGCACUUUUAUAGUCGUGAAUCAUAACUUCAUGGCAUAAGGCAACCGAAAUAAACGACAUUUAAUAUGGUUGCGUAA
Dermacentor silvarum is the source of this 847-nucleotide long non-coding RNA. RefSeq lists it as uncharacterized. NCBI's taxonomy places the organism in Eukaryota, Metazoa, Arthropoda, Arachnida, Ixodida, Ixodidae. The record is from RefSeq and is a predicted model, not a curated record. The transcript has 2 exons.